Molecule: long non-coding RNA, 1081 nt
Organism: Hirundo rustica (Barn swallow)
Lineage: Eukaryota; Metazoa; Chordata; Aves; Passeriformes; Hirundinidae
Exons: 3
Source: RefSeq, a predicted model, not a curated record
UGUUGCCAGCAGCUGGGUGAAAUGCAGAAACCAAUUUUUCCUGCCAGAGGACUAUGUGGGAAAAAUUAAAGGGAGGAGGACUGCCUAGGUAAUUCUCCCAAUCUUGAUGUUUGUGCAAAUACCUCCCUUUUGAAUGAAAGACUGGGGAAUCCAGGACAGGAGAAGCAAUGCUUCAGUACAAGAUUAACCCCUGAAGGAAGAGGACAGUAGCCCCUCACUCAAACUAUGGCUUAAGUUGGUGUUGUCAUUAAGCACAUGGCACUUUCCUGCCUCCUCCAGAGAUUCAAGCCAGGCACAUUGUGUUACAUCAUUUCAGCGUGGCUCACAGAAGGGCUGAGGCUCCAGCUAUCGUGUCACGUUUUCAGCAGAAACCUUUUAAGUCUCGGCGACUUCCUCUGAGGAUGCUGAAGCAAACAGUGCCCAGACCUGUGAGUGAACAAGUUGCAAAUGACAUCGUCGGUUUGAAACGUCUGAGCUGCUGCUGGGCCAUCUCUUUGUCUGCUGGAUAUAAUCUCUGGGUUUAUUUGGCCAUCCAUGUCCUGCUGGGUGACAGCCACCAUCCUGUGACUGAUGACUAAAACUUCCUCACCCAACCUGGUAGCGCUGGACUCGCCCCGAGCCUGGCCAGGUCUCCCCACACAGCGCAUGUCGGGCAGCCUCACCCCACCUCUCCCAGGAAUACCCACCCUCUCCCCGGGUGCCUCACCAAGGUGUUCAGCGAGUUUGUCAUUUGCAGACACUUCCUGAUACACAACACACGUGCAUUUUUAUGGCCAUCUUGGAUAAAGACAUCACUCCAGCUGGUAACUGCAGCUUCCAGAUAAGACUGACCCCGAGAAAAUGUAAACACCCAAUUAAGGAGCAAGGAGUUGUCCAUUUUCAGACUCCAGUGUGGCUACAUCUACCAAUAUUUUGUUGCACAAACACAGAAUAGCAACUCUAACUGGAACAGUUCUCUUAGUGGUUGCUACAUUAUCUGUAAUUGAUUCUGCAAGAGUUUGCAGGCCCUAGCAUUAGAAAGCAACUUCCUGCAUGUGUCUUUGAAUCAGAUUAAUAAAGGGAAAGAGUACUUUUAAUGACA